AAUGGCAGAAUAGUGCAAUGGAUUUAAGCUCCAUAUAUAAAAUUUAAUUUUUUUUAGAA
RNAcentral lists this transfer RNA (59 nucleotides) under Dendroctonus frontalis (southern pine beetle). Its description in RNAcentral is "tRNA-Leu". The record is from RNAcentral. Lineage: Eukaryota; Metazoa; Arthropoda; Insecta; Coleoptera; Curculionidae.